This 406-nucleotide ribosomal RNA is filed under the name uncultured bacterium. Its description in RNAcentral is "partial 16S ribosomal RNA". It matches the Rfam family "Bacterial small subunit ribosomal RNA", at positions 30 to 526 of the family's 1533-position model. The record is from RNAcentral.
AUUGAACGCUGGCGGCAGGCCUAACACAUGCAAGUCGAACGAGUGGCGGACGGGUGAGUAAUGUAUGGGGAACUGCCUGAUGGAGGGGGAUAACUACUGGAAACGGUAGCUAAUACCGCAUACCAUCAGAUGUGCCCAUAUGGGAUUAGCUUGUAGGUAGGGUAACGGCUCACCUAGGCGACGAUCCCUAGCUGGUCUGAGAGGAUGACCAGCCACACUGGGACGGAGACACGGUCCAGACUCCUACGGGAGGCAGCAGUGGGGAAUAUUGCACAAAGGGCGCAAGCCUGAUGCAGCCAUGCCGCGUGUAUGAAGAAGGCCUUCGGGUUGUAAAGUACUUUCAGCCGGGAGGCGUUACCCGCAGAAGAAGCACCGGCUAACUCCGUGCCAGCAGCCGCGGUAAUAC